RNAcentral lists this ribosomal RNA (274 nucleotides) under uncultured bacterium. Its description in RNAcentral is "partial 16S ribosomal RNA". It matches the Rfam family "Bacterial small subunit ribosomal RNA", at positions 523 to 796 of the family's 1533-position model. The record is from RNAcentral.
AUACGAACCGGACAAACGUUAUUCGGAAUUAUUGGGCUUAAAGGGUGCGUAGGCGGCGCGGUAAGUGAGGUGUGAAAGCCCACGGCUCAACCGUGGAAUUGCGCUUCAUACUGCCGUGCUAGAGGGAGACAGAGGUAAGCGGAACUGAUGGUGGGGCGGUGAAAUGCGUUGAUAUUAUCAGGAACACCGGUGGCGAAAGCGGCUUACUGGGUCUCUUCUGACGCUGAGGCACGAAAGCUAGGGUAGCGAACGGGAUUAGAUACCCCAGUAGUCC